This 1848-nucleotide ribosomal RNA is filed under the name Escherichia coli. RNAcentral's name for it is "partial 23S ribosomal RNA". It matches the Rfam family "Bacterial large subunit ribosomal RNA", at positions 1012 to 2839 of the family's 2925-position model. Lineage: Bacteria; Pseudomonadati; Pseudomonadota; Gammaproteobacteria; Enterobacterales; Enterobacteriaceae. The record is from RNAcentral.
GAAGAGGGAAACAACCCAGACCGCCAGCUAAGGUCCCAAAGUCAUGGUUAAGUGGGAAACGAUGUGGGAAGGCCCAGACAGCCAGGAUGUUGGCUUAGAAGCAGCCAUCAUUUAAAGAAAGCGUAAUAGCUCACUGGUCGAGUCGGCCUGCGCGGAAGAUGUAACGGGGCUAAACCAUGCACCGAAGCUGCGGCAGCGACGCUGAUGCGUUGUUGGGUAGGGGAGCGUUCUGUAAGCCUGCGAAGGUGUGCUGUGAGGCAUGCUGGAGGUAUCAGAAGUGCGAAUGCUGACAUAAGUAACGAUAAAGCGGGUGAAAAGCCCGCUCGCCGGAAGACCAAGGGUUCCUGUCCAACGUUAAUCGGGGCAGGGUGAGUCGACCCCUAAGGCGAGGCCGAAAGGCGUAGUCGAUGGGAAACAGGUUAAUAUUCCUGUGCUUGGUGUUACUGCGAAGGGGGGACGGAGAAGGCUAUGUUGGCCGGGCGACGGUUGUCCCGGUUUAAGCGUGUAGGCUGGUUUUCCAGGCAAAUCCGGAAAAUCAAGGCUGAGGCGUGAUGACGAGGCACUACGGUGCUGAAGCAACAAAUGCCCUGCUUCCAGGAAAAGCCUCUAAGCAUCAGGUAACAUCAAAUCGUACCCCAAACCGACACAGGUGGUCAGGUAGAGAAUACCAAGGCGCUUGAGAGAACUCGGGUGAAGGAACUAGGCAAAAUGGUGCCGUAACUUCGGGAGAAGGCACGCUGAUAUGUAGGUGAAGUCCCUCGCGGAUGGAGCUGAAAUCAGUCGAAGAUACCAGCUGGCUGCAACUGUUUAUUAAAAACACAGCACUGUGCAAACACGAAAGUGGACGUAUACGGUGUGACGCCUGCCCGGUGCCGGAAGGUUAAUUGAUGGGGUCAGCGCAAGCGAAGCUCUUGAUCGAAGCCCCGGUAAACGGCGGCCGUAACUAUAACGGUCCUAAGGUAGCGAAAUUCCUUGUCGGGUAAGUUCCGACCUGCACGAAUGGCGUAAUGAUGGCCAGGCUGUCUCCACCCGAGACUCAGUGAAAUUGAACUCGCUGUGAAGAUGCAGUGUACCCGCGGCAAGACGGAAAGACCCCGUGAACCUUUACUAUAGCUUGACACUGAACAUUGAGCCUUGAUGUGUAGGAUAGGUGGGAGGCUUUGAAGUGUGGACGCCAGUCUGCAUGGAGCCGACCUUGAAAUACCACCCUUUAAUGUUUGAUGUUCUAACGUGGACCCGUAAUCCGGGUUGCGGACAGUGUCUGGUGGGUAGUUUGACUGGGGCGGUCUCCUCCUAAAGAGUAACGGAGGAGCACGAAGGUUGGCUAAUCCUGGUCGGACAUCAGGAGGUUAGUGCAAUGGCAUAAGCCAGCUUGACUGCGAGCGUGACGGCGCGAGCAGGUGCGAAAGCAGGUCAUAGUGAUCCGGUGGUUCUGAAUGGAAGGGCCAUCGCUCAACGGAUAAAAGGUACUCCGGGGAUAACAGGCUGAUACCGCCCAAGAGUUCAUAUCGACGGCGGUGUUUGGCACCUCGAUGUCGGCUCAUCACAUCCUGGGGCUGAAGUAGGUCCCAAGGGUAUGGCUGUUCGCCAUUUAAAGUGGUACGCGAGCUGGGUUUAGAACGUCGUGAGACAGUUCGGUCCCUAUCUGCCGUGGGCGCUGGAGAACUGAGGGGGGCUGCUCCUAGUACGAGAGGACCGGAGUGGACGCAUCACUGGUGUUCGGGUUGUCAUGCCAAUGGCACUGCCCGGUAGCUAAAUGCGGAAGAGAUAAGUGCUGAAAGCAUCUAAGCACGAAACUUGCCCCGAGAUGAGUUCUCCCUGACUCCUUGAGAGUCCUGAAGGAACGUU